UGUAAGCGUAUACCAAAGUUGUUGCAGUUAAAACGCUCGUAGUCGGAAUUUGGCAGUUCCGGAUGUGUGCACGUCGUGUGCGCACUUCGCGGGGAUUGCUUUUGUGGACUUGCGUAGGAUGAGGCACUUUUAUUAGUGAACGUCCUCACGCAACCACUUUUUACUGUGAGAAAAUCAGAGUGCUCAAAGCAGGCAUUUGCCGUGAAUGUAUUAGCAUGGAAUAAUAGAAUAGGACUUGGUUCUAUUUUGUUGGUUUGUUGGGACUGAGUAAUGAUUAAGAGGGACAGUUGGGGGCAUUUGUAUUUCGGUGCUAGAGGUGAAAUUCUUAGAUUACCGAAAGACAAACUGCUGCGAAAGCGUCUGCCAAGGAUGUUUUCAUUGA
RNAcentral lists this ribosomal RNA (382 nucleotides) under uncultured eukaryote. Its description in RNAcentral is "partial 18S ribosomal RNA". It matches the Rfam family "Eukaryotic small subunit ribosomal RNA", at positions 592 to 976 of the family's 1831-position model. The record is from RNAcentral.